UAGCACCCAUCUUUGGACUUUGGCGCCUGCUACAGGUGGCGAAAUCUACUGUCAACUACUCGUGAAAAAACGCAUUAAAGUUUGAGAUCCGAAGCCAAGGCGAUUUCUUUCGCAGAGCAGAGAACAGAGAUGGUAUAUUGAUUUGAUUAGGGCUUACCGGCUAAGCGCCUGCUACAGGUGGCGAAAUCUACUGUCAACUACUCGUGAAAAAACGCAUUAAAGUUUGAGAUCCGAAGCCAAGGCGAUUUCUUUCGCAGAGCAGAGAACAGAGAUGGUAUAUUGAUUUGAUUAGGGCUUACCGGCUAAGAUUCGGACAUCCAUUCAUUCAGGAAUUCUAAAAGAAAAUAAGCCAAUGGGUCGCUCAGACUUUCUCGCGGUUCUUCUUUUUUCAGCUCUUUUGGCCGUCUCCUUUUCUCAAGGGUAUGGAAGAAAAUAUGUGUCUUUUCAGAGGGAAGAUUCUUCUGUGGUACUAAAAGGGAAUUCACAGACAAGCGUAGAUGAGAUGGAUUAUACAGAUCCAGGGCCGAACACUAACCCGAGAAGUAGUUUUCUGCCAACCCCUCCUCCUGCUCCUGUUCCGCAAGGUUAAAUGAGAUAAAACCUUAUGGAUUAUAAUAAAUAAUAGUGCUUUAAGUUCUGGUUUUCCAUAUGUAUAAACGUAAAUGUGUUACUUUGGAUGAAUAUCAUCUGGAUGAAGUUUUAAGGAGCUUGAAUUUGCCCAUUCAGUUCAGACUUGAGAGUGGUGGAAAUGUUAUAGAAAUUUGUCUAUCAUCUUUUUUUAUUUUUUUUUAUUUUUUUUUUGUUGUUGUUGUUUUCAAUGUAUGAAUGAUUCAGAUGGUGUGGAUGGUUGAUGUCA
Long non-coding RNA from Nelumbo nucifera (sacred lotus), 856 nucleotides. RefSeq lists it as uncharacterized. The record is from RefSeq and is a predicted model, not a curated record. NCBI's taxonomy places the organism in Eukaryota, Viridiplantae, Streptophyta, Magnoliopsida, Proteales, Nelumbonaceae.